This 3849-nucleotide long non-coding RNA is filed under the name Brassica napus (rape). RNAcentral describes it as "long non-coding RNA (BNAP_LNC016754)". Lineage: Eukaryota; Viridiplantae; Streptophyta; Magnoliopsida; Brassicales; Brassicaceae. The record is from RNAcentral.
UUACUCUCGACAUUGUAGUAGAUGACAUAUAAAUGCUUGUUUUGCUUGCACAGGGAUAAUACGAUUUCAUCACCAAUCAUUCCAAUAAUGCGCAUGGUCUCCGUAACUAUAUUCUUCCACGAAGGUGGUAAUACGUAUACAUGCUUGGACCACUCAUGUUUUGCAGCGUCUCCUAGAACCCACAGCUCAAAACUUCUACUUGUUCUUUCUAGAUUAACAUAUGUAGAAUCUCCUGACAUAAGCAAGCCUAGUUUGCCAUUGUAGUUUACUAGAGUUGGUUCUUUACAGGAAGUUCCCAAGAACUUGACAGAGCUGAACUUCUCAGUCCUCAAAUCAAAACAAACGACCAUAGACUCCACGAUAUACUCCACACUAGAUAUGCAUGGUGCGCCGGCUUUGUAGUACAAAACACCACUGAUGCAUAUAGGCAUGGAAGAAGAAGGCAAAUGACCACAGAUGUAUACAGCAAUGGAAGAAGAAGGCAAAUGAGGUAUGCAACAUUGGACCUUCCUCCAUGACAAUCUUUUAGUUCCUAAUGUCAGAACCUGGUGGUCCACAGAGAUGUAAACAUUAUUUACACGCGAAAAGGCCAUUGACAAUACCUUGUAUUCUUUGGCAAUGGGGUCAUAUCCAAGAUAUGUUUCCACUUCAUACCUCGUCCUCGACUUCAAUCUUGGUAAGGUCAAGGACUGUCCCGUGCUAGGGUUACAUAUCACCGUGACGAACUUUGAAUCAUUUUUCAGCCCCUCAAAUCCACAAACGAAUAAGCCAUUGGUACAACCUAAGAAUCUAGUGUAUCUGCGGAAAGGCGCAAGAUGAUUGGCGGCGGCUACAGCAGACGAGUCACCUUCCAUAUUUUGAGGCUGAGGUACCGACCAAAAGCAAAUAUCGAACUUAGCUUCGCAGGAGAAAAGGAUCUGAGGGCGCGCACAAGAUUUGGUCAAAAACGACUGUAUAAAAUCUUGACUGCAAAGCAUGGAGGACCAGAGCUUGCAUACGCACCGACAUCUCGCAAUCACCUUCGACGGCAACCUCGAGAAUAUCUCGAAAACGAGUUCAUCAGGAAUCGGCAACGAGAUUUGCUGAGGGCUGGUCAUCGAUCGAGUAACGCGUCGAGUACCCCAGACGUUCUGCCGCGGUGGUUUCAUGGCGGAGACAGAUUCCAGAAGAGUUGGUAUUGGACCAAGAGUUUUGUACCAGAUGCAGAGGUAUGGUGCUGUCAAUAAGCUACAUCAAUACAGUUCUGCAAACUCUGCAAGCAUUCCUCCUGAACGUUACAACAACAGCGUAGAAGUUAUUAGCAACUUGUACACACUUACAAGUAGCCAACUGAUAUGUAGAGGUCAAACAUGUUACAGUAAUUCAACGUAAUGAACAUCAAAAAUCCAAUUACAAACUCAAAAAAAAAAAAAAAACAGUGGAGAAAAUUGAGUAACCUGAGCAGGUGUUAGAUCAAAGGUAGAAUGUGUGUCACUAUCUCUUAGCUGAGCACAAACACAUGAAAGACCUCGGCACACCCUCAGCUAUAGAAAAAAAGCAAACAAACUUCAAGAAAUGAAUACUAGCUGGCUAGCUGCUGAUCUCUUAGCUGUUGUUCACAGUUUUAGUGUAUCUUCAUCUAGAUCUCUAAUACACACAACUUCCUACAAAAAAACACCAGAUAUCUACCAAACUAGACACAAAAAUAAAAGGUUUAAGAGGAAUAUACUACAAAUCUCUGCAAUAGACUAAGCUUUAAUCAACAAACACCAUGAUCCUUGACAAUAAACUCUCAUCCACAGCAGAUAAUACGGAGAAACCAAGCAAAAGCUUACAGAAUGCGCAAAUAGAGAGUAUAUCAGAAACAAACAGGCAGUGUAUAGAGAGAUACACACAGAAAAAAAAAAUCUAAUUUAAACACAAAUAAAGACCCUCGCCUAACCAAGCUGCUGAUCCAAGUCACACACCCUCAGCUAUAAAGGAAACAAAUAAACUUCAACGGAUGAAUACUAGCUGCUGAUCUCUUAGCUGUUGUUCACAGUUCUAGUGUCUCCUCAUUACGUGAAAUCAAGCUACGAUCACUAUCUCAACUCCUACAUAAACAUCAUAACUCUACAAAACUAUACGCAUAAAAACAAAAGCUAAUCAAUUACUCUCAUCCGUAGCAGAAUCAGAUAAUCCAUAAACCAAGCAAAGCGCACAGAAAACAAAAGCGUAGUGUUGUACCAGAAGAGGACGAACGAGCCUUCUCUAUCGUACAUCCCUGAAUGCUCCUUCCGAUUUAACCUCAGAAUCUCUUGUAUCAUCCUGUGACAAUCAUCAGAUACAUAACCAAAAAUACGCAAUAGAAUUUGUAAAAAUGAUUGCCUGAUCAAAUACACAGACGCAAAUGAGAAUCACAAGUCGAGAAGGAGGGUUCAGUUAAUUGAAUCAAAGUUCCGAUCAAACUCGAGGACUGGUUCGCGAAGCUUGAGCACGAGGACGACGAAGAAGAGUUGUCUCGAAGAUGCAACAAGCAAGAAAUCUACUGAGUCACGUGUAGUUAUCGGCGCGAUUGAGAGAAUCAAUCCGAAUUAAUUUCGGGGAAAAAUAAAAAUUAGAUACUAAGCGAUGGGCUUGGGCUGGGAUAAGAAACAGGUGGAAAUUGGGCUGGGGGACCCCGCGAUUCAUAGCUUCCGAUAGCCCAAAAAAAACGGAUAACAUAUUUACUGGGUAUUUGAAUUUCAGUGAAAUUCACCACUAUGUAUAUAUAUAUAUAUAUAUAUAGCUAGAAAUGAAAUCAUGAUCAUCUACUUUAUAAACUGUAUUCUUUUCCCAUUAUGUUUUGUAGUUACAAGCGAGCAUCUCAGGGGAUGAUGGAGCGCGUAGGAGCAUGGUGGAUCCAACGGUCCAUAGAACCUGUUCAGACCAAUCACUGAAGACAAUGAUGGAGAUAUGUGUAAAGUUUCUCCUCAAAGACCCUUUAGAACGUCCUUCCAUUGAAGAUGUUCUUUGGAAUCUUCAGUUUGCUUCUCAAGUCCAAGAAGUUGGCUACGUAACAGCAAUCCUCCGAGCACUCGCGGCUUGCCUUCUCCUGCAGCUUCCUCUCGUUUACACAUAACAACACUCGAAUCACCACGCGAUUCAGGUAGUUUUAAAUAUGAGAGCUGAGACUGAAUGAGUUUCUUGAUCUGAGAGUCAUAUCGUGCUUGUGUGUCUGUAAAUUGCAGGAUAUGAAGAGCAUGAGAGGUAGAGGAGACAAGAGUUUUGGUUUGGUCCGUUGUGAGUUCUUCUUCACUUCCCUUCAACUUCUUUAUUUUGUACCUCUCUCUCGAUCAUCUCGAAGAAUGUAACUCGAUAUUCUUCUCCAUCCAGACCAAAACGACACACAAAAAUAAAACAACAUAAUAAUAGAUCUGCACGUUAAGCAAAAUAGUAAACAUUAUUAUCCAUCAUCCACAAGAGGUGGGGUUUCCAAACUAAGAUGCUAAAGGAAAAAAAAAAUAAACACACAAAAUGAAAGCUACACUUCUCUCACUUGAAAUGCUUAAAAAAGCUUAACAUCCUCAACGUAGUUGAGAUAGGUCUUGAGAUAACAACCCCGAUACACGUCCAUUCCUUGGACUCCAACCUUUGUGAUCAUCUUACUCUCGACAUUGUAGUAGAUGACAUAUAAAUGCUUGUUUUGCUUGCACAGGGAUAAUACGAUUUCAUCACCAAUCAUUCCAAUAAUGCGCAUGGUCUCCGUAACUAUAUUCUUCCACGAAGGUGGUAAUACGUAUACAUGCUUGGACCACUCAUGUUUUGCAGCGUCUCCUAGAACCCACAGCUCAAAACUUCUACUUGUUCUUUCUAGAUUAACAUAUGUAGAAUCUCCUGACAUAAGCAAGC